UUGAAAGGCAGGAAGUAACAAUUCUGGGUCACUAUCUUUUCCAAGCUCUUCUUUGAGUUUUAGUAACAGAUUGGUUGCUUUAUUCUUUGAGAUCUGAAAAUGAAUGAAGAAAUUGGUGGCAGUGAAGUGCACGAGAUUAUGUGCCAUGCCAUUUGUUCUCAUAGAAUAAUUGAGGAAAUUAGAAAAAAAGGCAAAAUUCAAUGUUUUCUUAAAAAAAUGACUACAAAACUCUUUGCAAGAGUUCACAGCAAACUUCAAAUAAAUAGAGAAGAUGUCAACUACAAAAUUGCUAAGGGAGGAACUUAGGACACUGACUCUGAGGGCUUAGGUGUUAGCAGAUUAGGGGCACAUGAGUCUGGAUUUUGGGGCUUGUCUUCCAUGAUUGGGAGAAAAAGGAAAGUCUGAGUGAGAAACACAGUGAGAGCCAGAGUAUCCAGGAUCGUCUGCAACAUUAUACAUUACAGGAGGACUCGACUACAAGAAAACUCAGUGUUGCUGAGAGCACCCAAGAGGAAGCAGAGGAGGACUCAAGUACAAGAAAACUCAGUGUUGCUGAGAGCACCCAAGAGGAAAAAGAGGAGGACUCAAGUACAAGAAAACUCACUGUUGCUGAGAGCACCCAAGAGGAAACAGAGGAGGACUCAUCUUCAAGAAAACUCAGUGCUGCUGAGAGUACCCAAGAGGAAAAAGAGGAGGACUCAUCUUCAAGAAAACUCAGUGCUGCUGAGAGUACCCAAGAGGAAAAAGAGGAGGACUCAUCUUCAAGAAAACUCAGUGCUGCUGAGAGUACCCAAGAGGAAAAAGAGGAGGACUCAUCUUCAAGAAAACUCAGUGCUGCUGAGAGUACCCAAGAGGAAAAAGAGGAGGACUCAUCUUCAAGAAAACUCAGUGCUGCUGAGAGUACCCAAGAGGAAAAAGAGGAGGACUCAUCUUCAAGAAAACUCAGUGCUGCUGAGAGUACCCAAGAGGAAAAAGAGGAGGACUCAUCUUCAAGAAAACUCAGUGCUGCUGAGAGUACCCAAGAGGAAAAAGAGGUGAGCAGAAAUAACAGUCACAAAUUGGAGUGUAGGGAAGACACAUUUGGACAAUUAUUCUACAAAGUGGCUACCCAUUCUUUGUCACUGAAUUAUCACUCUACAAUAGGAAUAAAAGCCCCGAGUUACUAGGAUCAAGAUGAUUCUUGACCUUUCUGGUCAUCAUUCAACUGUAUUUACCCUCCUACCAAGCACAAAAAAGCUUUGUGAGGAAUUUUAGGACUCCUGCUCAGGGAUUUGGUGUUAGCAGUUUAGGGCACAUAAUUCUCGAUUUCUGGGACUUGCCUUCCAUGAUGAGGAGGAAAAGGAAAGUGUGAGAAACAGAAUGAGAGAGAGUGCCCAGGAUAGCCUGAAACCUUAUACAUUACAGGAGGACUCAUCUUCAAGAAAACUCAGUGCUGCUGAGAGUACCCAAGAGGAAAAAGAGGUGAGCAGAAGUAACAGUCACAAAUUGGAGUGUAGGGAGGACACAUUUGGACAAUUAUUCUACAAAGUGGCUACCCAUUCCUUGUCACUGAAUUAUCACUCUACAAUAGGAAUAAAAGUCAAAAGUACUUUGACCA
RNAcentral lists this long non-coding RNA (1597 nucleotides) under Monodelphis domestica (gray short-tailed opossum). RNAcentral describes it as "lncRNA (ENSMODG00000041500.1)". The record is from RNAcentral. Lineage: Eukaryota; Metazoa; Chordata; Mammalia; Didelphimorphia; Didelphidae.